Molecule: ribosomal RNA, 180 nt
Filed under: uncultured Corynebacterium sp.
Lineage: Bacteria; Bacillati; Actinomycetota; Actinomycetes; Mycobacteriales; Corynebacteriaceae
Description: partial 16S ribosomal RNA
Source: RNAcentral
CUUAAUGACGCAGCCUGAUGCAGCCACGCCGCGUGAGUGAUGACGGCCUCGGUUGUAAACCUCUGUCGACAGGGACGAAGCUUUUGUGACGGUACCAGUAUAAUAAGGACCGGUCCACUACGGGCCAGCCGCCGCUAUAAUAGCACCCGCGGUAAUAUUAUAAUUAUUUGCACCUCUAGU